AUUGAACGCUGGCGGAAUGCUUUACACAUGCAAGUCGAGCGGCAGCGCGGGGCAACCUGGCGGCGAGCGGCGAACGGGUGAGUAAUGUAUCGGAACGUGUACUGUCGUGGGGGAUAGCCCGGUGAAAACCGGAUUAAUACCGCAUACGAUCGAGAGAUGAAAGUGGGGGACGGCAAGGCCUCACGCGAUAGGAGCGGCCGAUAUCUGAUUAGCUAGUUGGUGGGGUAAAGGCCCACAAAGGCUACGAUCAGUAGCUGUCUGAGAGGAGGAGCAGCCACACUGGGACUGAGACACGGCCCAGACUCCUACGGGAGGCAGCAGUGGGGAAUUUUGGACAAUGGGGGCAACCCUGAUCCAGCCAUUCCGCGUGAGUGAAGAAGGCCUUCGGGUUGUAAAGCUCUUUUGUCCGGGAAGAAACGGUUUUGGCUAAUAACCAAGACUACUGACGGUACCGGAAGAAUAAGGACCGGCUAACUACGUGCCAGCCGCCGCGGUAA
This 497-nucleotide ribosomal RNA is filed under the name uncultured bacterium. RNAcentral's name for it is "partial 16S ribosomal RNA". It matches the Rfam family "Bacterial small subunit ribosomal RNA", at positions 29 to 523 of the family's 1533-position model. The record is from RNAcentral.